This is a long non-coding RNA of Scatophagus argus, 594 nucleotides long. RefSeq lists it as uncharacterized. The transcript has 3 exons. NCBI's taxonomy places the organism in Eukaryota, Metazoa, Chordata, Actinopteri, Scatophagidae. The record is from RefSeq and is a predicted model, not a curated record.
CAGUUCACAAGUCUCACUCAAGCUUUGAAAUCUCGUGAAGAAGUUGACUGUGAAAACGAGAACCAGGGCUGGACAUAGGUGUUUAUAGUUUACUGAGAGGAACCACCAGCACAAAUUUAUUCCCAAAGUCAUGACUGACUAUCUGAUUUCAACAAUUUAGGUGAGGUGACCACCACGGUACAUCCCGGAAGAAGCUGACGAUUCAACAACCCUGAGAUGAGAUCUGCAACAGGCCGAGGGUGCUCUGGGUCCAACAGCCCCUUGCAAACCUCUUGUCUGGCUAACCCACACAUUGUCCAGAGAGACCUCUCUCACCAGGCGCUCACUGAGACGCUCCCACCUGCUCAGCUGUAAACUCACCACUGCAACCAGAUACUGCUCCCAAUGGUCUGAGGGUAUAAUACAUAAUGAAACACAAAAAAAUAUUAUUUGUAGCGUCUCUGUAGAGAAAACUGGUCUUGUUUAAGUGCAAAGUUGCAAUGCACAAGUAAAAAAAAGUAACAAUUUCCUGUAAUGUUCUACCAAAUAAAAUGCCUUCAGUGAUCAAAAAUGAGCCAAUGAACAACUGAAAAAGAUACUGGAAUUGACAGUAAA